UGGGGUAUAGCCCGGAGAAAUUCGGAUUAAUCCCCCAUAGUAUUAUUGGAUCGCAAGGUUUGAUAAUUAAAGGUUACGGUAUAAGAUGGGCAUGCGUCCUAUUAGCUAGAUGGUAAGGUAACGGCUUACCAUGGCUACGAUAGGUAGGGGGCCUGAGAGGGUGGUCCCCCACGCUGGUACUGAGACACGGACCAGACUCCUACGGGAGGCAGCAGUGAGGAAUAUUGGUCAAUGGGCGCAACCCUGAACCACCCAUGCCGCGUGCAGGAAGAAUGCCCUACGGGUUGUAAACUGCUUUUAUUUAGGAAUAAACUCUUGUACGUGUACAAGCCUGAAGGCGCUAAAUGAAUGAGCACCGGCUAACUCCGUGCCAGCAGCCGCUGUAAUACGGAGGGUGCAAGCGUUAUCCGGAAUCAUUGGGUUUAAAGGGUCCGCAGGCUCGAUUUAUAAGUCAGUGGUGAAAUCCUGUCGCUUAACGAUA
RNAcentral lists this ribosomal RNA (481 nucleotides) under uncultured Bacteroidota bacterium. RNAcentral's name for it is "bacterial SSU rRNA". It matches the Rfam family "Bacterial small subunit ribosomal RNA", at positions 137 to 617 of the family's 1533-position model. Lineage: Bacteria; Pseudomonadati; Bacteroidota. The record is from RNAcentral.